UCACCUGUUUAUCAAAAACAUGUCUUAUUGAAAAUAAUUUUAAGUCAAAUCUGCUCAAUGAAUAAAUUUUAAAUAGCUGCAGUAUAAAUAACUGUACAAAGGUAGCAUAAUAAUUUGUUUUUUAAUUGAAAACUAGAAUGAAUGAUUUAAUGAAAUAUAAACUAUAUCAAAUUUAAAAAAUAAAUUUAUUAUUUAAAUAAAAAAAUUUAAAUAAUUUUUAAAGACGAGAAGACCCUAUAGAAUUUUAAUAAUAAAUUAUAUAAUUUAUAAUAUAAUUUAUUAUAUUAAUUGGGGAAAUUUUAAAAUUUUAAAAAUUUUUAAUUAAAAAAAACAUAAAUUUUUGAAUAAAUAUUAUUUUUUUAAAAAAAUAAAUUAAAUUACCUUAGGGAUAACAGCAUAAUUUUUUUUUUAAGUUCAAAUUUAUAAAAAAGUUUAUGACCUCG
This 443-nucleotide ribosomal RNA is filed under the name Cotesia sp. 1 SY-2020. RNAcentral's name for it is "partial large subunit ribosomal RNA". Lineage: Eukaryota; Metazoa; Arthropoda; Insecta; Hymenoptera; Braconidae. The record is from RNAcentral.